This 72-nucleotide transfer RNA is filed under the name Thomasclavelia spiroformis DSM 1552. Its description in RNAcentral is "Clostridium spiroforme DSM 1552 tRNA". It matches the Rfam family "tRNA". From Rfam's summary of the family: Transfer RNA (tRNA) molecules are approximately 80 nucleotides in length. Lineage: Bacteria; Bacillati; Bacillota; Erysipelotrichia; Erysipelotrichales; Coprobacillaceae. The record is from Rfam by way of RNAcentral.
CUCUCUAUAGUUAAAUGGAUAUAACAAGUCCCUCCUAAGGACUAGUUGUAGGUUCGAUUCCUACUAGGGAGG